GUGAACGCUGGCGGUAGGCCUAACCCAUGCAAGUCGAACGGCAGCACAGUAAGAGCUUGCUCUUACGGGUGGCGAGUGGCGGACGGGUGAGGAAUACAUCGGAAUCUACUUUUUCGUGGGGGAUAACGUAGGGAAACUUACGCUAAUACCGCAUACGACCUACGGGUGAAAGCAGGGGAUCUUCGGACCUUGCGCGAUUGAAUGAGCCGAUGUCGGAUUAGCUAGUUGGCGGGGUAAAGGCCCACCAAGGCGACGAUCCGUAGCUGGUCUGAGAGGAUGAUCAGCCAACCGGGAACUGAAACACGGUCCAGACCCCUAGGGGAGGCCGAGGGGGGGAAAUUUGGACAAGGGGGGAAAGCCUAUCCCAGCCAUACCGGGUGGGGGAAGAAGGCCUUCGGGUUGUAAAGCCCUUUUGUUGGGAAAAAAAAACAGCAGGUUAAUACCCCGCUGUUCUGACGGUACCCAAAGAAUAAGCACCGGCUAACUUCGU
This 490-nucleotide ribosomal RNA is filed under the name uncultured bacterium. RNAcentral's name for it is "partial 16S ribosomal RNA". It matches the Rfam family "Bacterial small subunit ribosomal RNA", at positions 29 to 506 of the family's 1533-position model. The record is from RNAcentral.